GCAGCACCCCGGGGCGUGCGCCCGUUCCGCUGCCAGGGCCCCGGGGGGUUGACCCCGGCUGGAGCUGCAGGAAGAGAAGGGCGAGGACACGGGACAUUUCCCCAGCGCUGGGAGUAGCUGCUCUGGUGGUUUGUUAGAGGGAAGGCAUGGAUGAAGAUGCCAUCAUCGACAUCUUGACCAAACUCAAAGUUUGCCAACGUCAGCGAGUUCUGAUCACCUAUAAGACACUCCUGGCAGGAGCUCCCCAGCAGAGACACUUUUUCUUUGCUCCAGCCUUCAUGGAUAAACACUAGACAGAAGAGAUCUGUGCAGACACAGCAGCAGUCUGUGUGCAGAGGGGUGCUGCUCAUCUCGUUUCUCUUCCCAUCUACGUCUCAUCCCACUCAGUGCAUUUUGAAGUGCUGAAUCUCUUUCCAUCUCCUGAGUCGUGCUUCCCAUGGUCAGCAAAGGGCCGCUACUGCAAUGGAGUCAUCCAAACUCAGGGGAAUAAUAGAUGUCCAUUUAUUGAGAGCUUUCUUAACAGCCAGCAACAACCAGUUGGUGUUAACACCGACCAAUGGGCUGAUUGCAAGGAAUAAUGUUAGAUGUAACAAUUGUAGGCAAUGGCUGUGACAAAGAGCCAAAGAAUACCAGAUGACAAAAAGGCAGAAAAUGGGGAAAGAGGGACAGGCAGCAAAGCGCUCGUAGAUCCAGCCACGUCCUGGUGUCAGGCACGGAUCUCCAGUGUGAUGACCAUCUCCAGGUCGUCGGAGGAGGUGGUGUUCAGCUGACAACGAUUCACGACAACAGUAGAAACUCACUGAGAAGUCCAAAGCGGUGGCACUCAGCCGCCUGCCAGCACUGCCCCACAGCUGUGCCUGUGCACCCCAGGAGGCAGGAGAGGCCCUUUCCAUGGGGACAGAGCCCUCUCCCUGUGCCCCACCGCGCAGCCCCGAGCUGGGAGGGGCUACCGAGCACGGCGGUCAGAGGGGCAGCAGCCCAUCAUAGACCACAUGCAGGGUGCUGCUCGCAAAGUACGCCAGGGAAGUGUACGUUGCCCGGGGCAGCACUCAAGGCAGGAGCUGAUAGAAGAGCUCCUGAUCGAAGUGCUGGGCGUACAGCACUGCAGAGCCCAGCACAACAAGGAGCAGCUGGAGGCAGACCAGGAUGAGGCAGAUCGUCCUGUGGGGCAAAAGAGAAAGGGGGCCGGGAAUGAGGCACCCCCACCCCACGGCUGUCGACAGGUGGCUUGCUAGCCAAGAGGGCCAUGGGCCCCUCGAACAGCUGUACGAGCAGGACAGGGCAGGAGGCUCUCAAGAUGUACAGAUGGAAGAAUACUAGCGUGCCACCUGCGUGGACACCGUGUCCUUGAGCCCCAAAGUAAACGACCACAGAGGAACUUGGUUUGGAGAUAAGGAAGUAACCACGGGUGUGCCGCAGAGAUAGUUCCUAAGGCAUGAAAACGUGUGUAGCCCAUCACCUUUGUGAGUAAGGGGUAGUUACGGGGUUGUUAACUGAUCAGCUUGUGCCAAGUUUACUAAUAUGGUUAUAAAUAGAGUCACACUAUAACAAUAAAGUGGGGUUU
Lagopus leucura (white-tailed ptarmigan) is the source of this 1564-nucleotide long non-coding RNA. RefSeq lists it as uncharacterized. NCBI's taxonomy places the organism in Eukaryota, Metazoa, Chordata, Aves, Galliformes, Phasianidae. The transcript is spliced from 3 exons. The record is from RefSeq and is a predicted model, not a curated record.